CAAGCACUGAGGACUGAAAAGCUCUACCUGACACUGUAGAUCACGCAGGACCUGCAUUUUCUGGUUGCCAAGCAACCUCUACAUUAUAAAAUCUUUUGGAGAUGCUGCACGAAAAAUAAAUCCAAGCAAUGAACAAGAUUCAAGCUCACCCUCAGACCACUUCAUGCAGGAGCAAAAGAUAAAAGGAACAAAGCAGCAACUGUAAGAAGCUAUCCUGUCUGCAGGAGGCAAAGUAGAUAAAAAAGCACCAUCAUGCUCAUGCUAGCUCGUCCCAUUCUACUUCUACUCAGAGAUCUACUUUAGGAUUGAAAAGGGUUAUUCAAAAUUAAAUAUCCUGCUUGGGCUGUAAAAAAAAUAGAAAC
Hyla sarda is the source of this 362-nucleotide long non-coding RNA. RefSeq lists it as uncharacterized. Lineage: Eukaryota; Metazoa; Chordata; Amphibia; Anura; Hylidae. The transcript has 3 exons. The record is from RefSeq and is a predicted model, not a curated record.